This 118-nucleotide ribosomal RNA is filed under the name Carassius auratus (goldfish). The record is from RNAcentral. Lineage: Eukaryota; Metazoa; Chordata; Actinopteri; Cypriniformes; Cyprinidae.
GCUUACGGCCAUACCAACCUGGCUAUGCCCGAUCUCGUCUGAUCUCGGAAGCUAAGCAGGUUUGGGCCUGGUUAGUACUUGGAUGGGAGACCCCCUGGAAUACCAGGUGCUGUAAGCU